Molecule: unclassified non-coding RNA, 329 nt
Filed under: soil metagenome
Description: partial contains 5.8S ribosomal RNA, internal transcribed spacer 2, and large subunit ribosomal RNA
Rfam family: 5.8S ribosomal RNA (bases 1-120)
Source: RNAcentral
GAUGAAGAACGCAGCGAAAUGCGAUAAGUAAUGUGAAUUGCAGAAUUCAGUGAAUCAUCGAAUCUUUGAACGCACAUUGCGCCCCCUGGUAUUCCGGGGGGCAUGCCUGUUCGAGCGUCAUUUCACCACUCAAGCCUCGCUUGGUAUUGGGCAACGCGGUCCGCCGCGUGCCUCAAAUCGACCGGCUGGGUCUUCUGUCCCCUAAGCGUUGUGGAAACUAUUCGCUAAAGGGUGUUCGGGAGGCUACGCCGUAAAACAACCCCAUUUCUAAGGUUGACCUCGGAUCAGGUAGGGAUACCCGCUGAACUUAAGCAUAUCAAUAGCGGGGA